This 31-nucleotide transfer RNA is filed under the name Alocasia brisbanensis. RNAcentral describes it as "partial tRNA-Thr". Lineage: Eukaryota; Viridiplantae; Streptophyta; Magnoliopsida; Alismatales; Araceae. The record is from RNAcentral.
AUGGUCAUCGGUUCGACUCCGAUAGGGGGCC